RNAcentral lists this ribosomal RNA (460 nucleotides) under uncultured bacterium. Its description in RNAcentral is "partial 16S ribosomal RNA". It matches the Rfam family "Bacterial small subunit ribosomal RNA", at positions 338 to 795 of the family's 1533-position model. The record is from RNAcentral.
CCUACGGGAGACAGCAGUGAGGAAUAUUGGUCAAUGGACGCAAGUCUGAACCAGCCAUGCCGCGUGCAGGAAGACGGUUCUAUGAGUUGUAAACUGCUUUUGUACGAGGGUAAACGCAGAUACGCGUAUCUGUCUGAAAGUAUCGUACGAAUAAGGAUCGGCUAACUCCGUGCCAGCAGCCGCGGUAAUACGGAGGAUUCAAGCGUUAUCCGGAUUUAUUGGGUUUAAAGGGUGCGUAGGCGGUCGGAUAAGUUAGAGGUGAAAUCCCGAGGCUCAACUUCGGAAUUGCCUUUGAUACUGUUCGGCUAGAGAGUAGUAGCGGUAGGCGGAAUGUAUGGUGUAGCGGUGAAAUGCUUAGAGAUCAUACAGAACACCGAUUGCGAAGGCAGCUUACCAAGCUACUUCUGACGUUGAGGCACGAAAGCGUGGGUAGCAAACAGGAUUAGAUACCCGUGUAGUC